AAAAAGGGUUUUUGCUUUGUUUUCUCUUGGGUGAGUACUCAGCAGCAAAGAAAUGGCACCCAAAGUUCAUACCUUUGAGGAGGUAGCUAGUCACAACAAGAAAGAUGAUUGCUGGCUUAUCAUCUCUGGAAAGGUCAACUUGUUUUCUCAUUGCAUAUUCACUUAUUUUUGUGGAUUAUGGCUUUCUUUUGGGUUGUGAUUAUAUGAAAAUUGCUUCUUCUUCUCCUUUUUUUUUGAAAAAUCUUGAUAUAUAUUUUUUCGUUGGAUAUACAAGACUGUGAUUUAAAAUGUGAAUCUAAGUUGGAUUGAUAAUCUGAUUCGGAAUCGGAAUAAACAAUGAAGUGAAGAGGAUAUUUGAACUAGGGUUCCCUCUUUUAUUUAUUAUUAUUAUUAUUUAUUUAUUUUUUAGGGAAAGAAAACUUUAUAGGUACAUGAUAGUAUCAUUUCAGAGCAUGAAUCCCGUUUGAUAUAUUUUUAGGUUGAUUAAAUCGUUCUAUAUGAUUGUGCGCAAGGAUUAAUGUCGAUUCGGUAAAGAAGGAAUAGAUAUUUCAGGUUUUUACGAUCCAUCUUCAAACAUUUUUCUGGCAGGAAAAGUCACUUUUAAGUAAUUUUUUACCGCAAAAAAAAAAAAAAAAAAUUUUUUGAGGAAUUUUAAAAGUUCUUUUCCUUUUAUGUUUACACUUUUUUUUAAAGCUUAUUUCUUCCAGUAUACAACUAGAUCCAUGGAUUGUUUCCUUCACUAACUAAUAACUAGUGAGUGAAUCAUGUAGGUAAAAGUUGUGAAUCUUCCUUAUGUGGGUUAAGAUCAAAGCAAUAAAUGGAAUGCUGCAAAUUUUUGGCAAAAGCCAAUCAAUAUAAUUUAUUGAAAAUUGAAAGAUACAAAACCUUUCUCUCUAUCAAUUCAGCUGAUUAGACACGUUGCUAUUGUUGUUGAAGAUGUGCAAUGAUUUCAUUUAUUGAUCUAGUGGACCCACCGCAAUAGUGGUGUGUUGAUGCUCACGAGAAUUUAUUCGAAGAGCGAUGAUAGUUUUGUUUCUUUUAAUACUACUAACGAACCACUGAAAUCUGUACUAAAGAGGGAUCCUUGAAACCCAAGUUCAUUUAUGAGUUAUAACAUCCUAGCUACUGGAUAGGCUAAAGCUUGACCAGACAAUGAGGGUUCUUACACAAAUAUUACUUAAUUUUAGGAAUUUAUUGCAGAGACUUGAGGCUUAUGUUACCCUGAAAUGAAAAAAAGACUACACUACCCUCACAUUCUUUUGAAGCCUAAAUAUAAAUCGUAGAAUUGCCUCUAAAGGUUUUCUUUCGUUAUAUAACCCUAUAAGAUUACAGAAAAAUUCCGUAGGACUUACUAGCCAAGCGUUUUAGGUGGCACUUUUGAAGACAAGUACGCGUAGUAGUUAACAGGGUUUUAACGCAUUCAAAUUAGACUAUUAAAUUGGUACAGUCAAAUCUGGACAAAGGGGAGUUAGAAUCACAUGAAAUUAGGUCAUUAGAAUUCAGCCUCUGUUUGGUUUUGUUAAAAAUCUGAAUUUUAGUACAUUUUAAUAAAAGUUGAUGAAUACAUGGUCGAAAGGUUGAUAAAAGUCAUGAGUCCCAUGAAAUGUGUGAUUGAAAAUAAGUAUGGGGGAAAAUGAGUUAAAAAUGGGGGCCAACCCUGUUUAUUAAUACAAAUAUGGUUCUUGAGGAACCAUAUGACUCAAAUAAGAAUUAGGCAAUGUUUAGUUGAGUUGCUAGUCCCCUUCGAUAUAUGUGUGGGGAUCGGUCGAGGAGGAGUUAGACAGUAUCUUAAACAUCGCUGGAAUUUAUCUAGAAUUCUAAAUACACAUAAAUUUAUACAUUCCUUCUUUUAUAUUUGCUCGUAAGAUGCAAGGAAUCAAGUAGAUCUGAUGUGAAGGCCAAGGGUAUGUGUUGGACUAUGUGGAACCUAAUCACGAAAUUUUUACUGGGGGUAUAUUGGAUAAUGGAUAGUUCACACGCGUUACUGCUCACCCAGGUAUUCCUAUUAUGUAUCAAGGAUUUUGAGAAGAGGGGAGGACUAACCAGAAAGACUUUUGUGAAGAACAUUGUAAUCUUUUUCAUUAUGGUGAAAAAUCUUCUAAAUUAAGUACUUGUAACUCUCACAUUGGCAUGAACCAUUAUAAAUCUAUGUGUUUAUGAUUUUGCUUUGUCUAUUACUGCAAACAAAGUUAUGGAUUAAUAUUUAAUCCACGAGUACAAGUUCUUGGCUGUUUCUUAAUGGCCGAAGAUGCUAGUAAUCUCAAAUUAAUGUAAAAUGCUGCCUUCAUGCAAGGCUUUUUAUAGUGUCAUUUGACAGUUACCUACUUCAAAUGUCAUUUUCUUCCGGCAAUGCUUCUUAAAGUUGUCGGAUGUUUGACCAUGCAAAGAUAAUUUCAGGCAUCUAAAACCCUUCUUAAACUCAAGCUUGCGCACAAAGCGAAAGGUUCUGACCGGUCCUGUCUCGACUGAAUCUGUUUGUGGGAGCACAAAUGACAAAAAAAGGAACCUUCCUCUAUCCAGCCAUUUCAUUUCAGAUUGAGAAGAUGUGAACUUGUGUUUAUCUGUAUAAGAAUGAAAUGGGAGAGACGUGAUGUUGUAAUUGGGGUUUAUGCUUAUAGUUUAACUAAAUUGAAACAUAGUAAUUGGGUAUGCAUUUGUUUGGUAGAUUCUAAUCAUGUUAUUAUUAUUUAUAUUCUCGUUUGAACUUCAUGACUCCUUUUGUUAACAUUGCGUUAGGUCUACAACGUGACGCCAUUUCUUGAAGAGCAUCCUGGGGGUGAUGAAGUGCUGCUAACAUCAACUGGUAAGAGCUGAUUCUAUGUUACACUUCUCAACAUUCCCUCUAACACGAACUCACUUUCUUAGUGUGUCUACAUUACAAUUUAUCGCAUAAAAUGUGGGAGCUUAUUUAACAUUUUGAUAUUUCUUGAGAUCUAAGAGCCAUUUGGUAUGAACAAGAAAGUAGAUAUCAGUAUCUUUGGUUCCCUAUUUAGGAUUAUAAUAAGUUUUUGUUAUGAAUUUUGUAGAGAAAGAUGCUACAAAUGAUUUUGAAGAUGUUGGCCACAGUGAUGACGCAAAAGUGACAAUGCAGAAAUUCUACAUUGGUGAGAUUGAUGAAUCAACUCUUCCAUCAGAGCAGAAAUACACCCCACCUCCAAGUGCAACUUCAACUGCAAACCAG
This 3181-nucleotide long non-coding RNA is filed under the name Olea europaea (common olive). RNAcentral describes it as "long non-coding RNA (OEUR_LNC005805)". The record is from RNAcentral. Lineage: Eukaryota; Viridiplantae; Streptophyta; Magnoliopsida; Lamiales; Oleaceae.